UCCAUUUUACACAGGCCGAACCUUGGAGCCCAAGUUUAUGGCUUUUUGGAUUAAGGUCAAGUGGUACGCUGCAUAGACGAGCAUCAUUUAGUUUAAUUUUUUAGGUUUUUAGGGUUUUCUAAAUCAAUUAAUAAUUAAUAGUAUUAAAUAUUAAAUAAUUUAUUCUUUUCUUAUUAUAGUGUCGUCGAUUCCUCUCUCAUUGCAACAAGUCUAAUGGGGUAGGUAACUGAGUUUACUAUCUGCAACCAAUGCAACUCCAAUUAAGUGAUAACUCCUUACUUUAAGCAAAUUAUAUGUACUUCACUUUCUCUUUACUUCUAAAGACAACACAACUUUGCUCGAGCAAUGCCCAUUUUAAUGUAAGUAGCCUUGAGUGACUCAACAACCUCCCAAUGAUAAUACUAACAAAUGGAAGGUACCUCAUCAAGCUUAACAUGGACUGAGGGAUUUAUGUUUGUUUAAUAACUAAGGUCUCAUUAAUUUUGCAUGGGUAGAAUUUAUAUUAUUGCGUGAAGUAAAUCUACCUACUAUGAACUUCAAGUUAUGUUCAAGAGAAUUUAGAUGAUAAAAGAAAUGUACAACCCAAAGGAAAAAUAAAAAUAAGACAAAGAACACUAACCCAAUUUAAAAAUUAAAUAGCAUAAAACAUAAAUUAAUCAUCCAAACAUUUGAUUUAUUUUAAUUAACUUAUGAAUUUCUUAUUUUUCAAAUUUAAUUUUAGGUUUAAUCAUAAAUUAAAUUAUUUAGAUUUAACUUAAAUAAAUCAUCCAAACAUUUGAACAAAUUCUUUGUUCAGUUUACAUUUAACUUAAAUAAAUUUAAGGCAAAUACUAAUUUAUUUAGGUUUAACCAUAAAUUAAAUUAUUUAGAUUAAAACAAAUUCAAUUUUGAAGUGCAUCAAUCUAACUCCGGAGCAUUUAAUUACUACUAGUAUCUACGAUUUUUUUCAUGGAUUUCAAUUUUUAAAAUUAAAUUCUAGACAUUUUUAUAAAUUAAUUAAAAUUUAAACACUAAAUAAAAUUAAAAUUCUAAAAUUUAGGAUUUAAUUAAAUAUAAUUUUAAUUUUAAUUCUAACAAGUUGAUAAAAAAAAAAAAAAAAAACCUCUUACCUUGCGUUUAAUUUUUAGUAACUUGUUCCUGAGAAGCCCGAUGUGAACCAAACUCAUUUAGGGAUAGGAUGGAAACUCUGAAAAUCACUUGAAAAACAAAAUUUAGAGCAUCCGUGAUCACAAGCUGGACUCCAAGCAAUCGAAAAUAAG
This 1259-nucleotide long non-coding RNA is filed under the name Gossypium barbadense (sea-island cotton). Its description in RNAcentral is "long non-coding RNA (GBAR_LNC005103)". The record is from RNAcentral. Lineage: Eukaryota; Viridiplantae; Streptophyta; Magnoliopsida; Malvales; Malvaceae.